RNAcentral lists this long non-coding RNA (1387 nucleotides) under Sparus aurata (gilthead seabream). RNAcentral describes it as "lncRNA (ENSSAUG00010026423.1)". Lineage: Eukaryota; Metazoa; Chordata; Actinopteri; Spariformes; Sparidae. The record is from RNAcentral.
CUUUACAUAUCAAAGCGCUACAUUCAUUUCAAGUAUUCACCUGACCUGAAGAGCAUGAAUUGGCCCAUUUAUUUCUCUCCUAAGCAACACAUGUUGCAGAUGAGUGUUUGUGUUGUGUGCAGAUGCUGUGGCGUCUCUCACAGGGUAGUGUUAUAUCUCAGAGAUGUGGAUAGUUGUUAUCUUCUGUCUGUGGAGGAUUAUCUGAAAAAUGGUGUGUUUCGCAGUAUAGCCAGUGUAAGGUCCGGCAGCCGCUACUAUGGCAAGCGCAGAUGCGGGAAGACAGCGGCCUCGUUGGAGAAAGGGCACCCAGAGUCUUUCACGGGGGCUGUUCUGCUGCUCAUGUUUGCGAGGGGAGGAGAAGGAUUCUCUGCAGGGACAGGAAAGGAAGAUUAAUAGUGGCCCUCAGGAUCCACACUUGGAUCAGCGGGGAUCAGGUGAGAUGCAGGCUAUCCAGAUUACAGUGGAGGAUCUGGGCAUAGUUAACAGCAGCUUCAGCCUGUUCGAGGAGGACCUCCUGACCCCGGGGACCAGCAUGGCCUGCUCAGCCAGCUCCGUGUGUGCCUGCACCAGGGCCCUGAAGAAGAAACGACUGAAGCCCCUGUCUUCCCUCCCUAUCCAGGCCAAAAUGGCUGCCACUUGUACCAGUGUCGAAGAUGACGAAGAAGAGGAGGAAGACACGUUACUGUUUGGGAGUGGCACCAAUAGCACGGCAGCUUCGGGAAGCCUCCUGACACAACCUGUCAUUAAUCUGAUACCACCCACUCCCUCUGACGUGGCCGACGACGAUCAGUUCUUUGACAUUAAUUCAGAGGAGAGCGUGGCGCACACAUCUGGAAGUGACGGAAGCUUUGCUGCUGGCGACGAGGAUAGUUACAAAGAGAAGACAGAGAGGGUGGAGACCGAGGAGUCAUCAGAGGAAUUCACAGUGGCUGAGAGUAAGGUCAGUGCUGAUGGUGCAGCAACUGAGGAGGGCCAAAGUGAUCAGUUGGGAGAAGAUAAAGAGCCCAUGCCAACCGAAGUGGGGGAUAAAGAGAAAACAAAACCCAGGUUCUUACGUAGCAUCUACCAGGUGGCUCCUCUUCCUGAGUGCUCUCAGAAAAAUGACCUGGGCAAAAGAGAUGUGAGCUGCUCUGACACGCUGACAGCUGAUCUGCCUCCUCACGCCACCGACAUGGACACAUUCACUCACCAGCGGAGGCCGAUAACUCGCUCCUGCAGUGUUGGGGACACACUGAACAGGAGCGCCACUUUCCACGCUUUAACUCAACCCUCACACCACCAGGAUGAGGAGGGCUCGCCACGACGACGCAUAACCGUUGGUGAGUCUAGUAUCACAACAUCGUGGAGGUUUUUUGUAGUUGAUACUAUUGUUACGGCUCAUUUAUAA